Molecule: ribosomal RNA, 253 nt
Filed under: uncultured bacterium
Lineage: Bacteria
Description: partial 16S ribosomal RNA
Rfam family: Bacterial small subunit ribosomal RNA
Source: RNAcentral
GACGGAGGGUGCUAGCGUUGUUCGGAAUUACUGGGCGUAAAGGGCGCGUAGGCGGCCGUUUGCGUCGGAUGUGAAAGCCCGGGGCUCAACCCCGGAACGGCAUCCGAUACGGGACGGCUGGAGACCGGGAGAGGAGGGUGGAAUAGCCAGUGUAGAGGUGAAAUGCGCAGAUAUCAGGAGGAACACCGGUGGCGAAGGCGGGUCUCUGGGCCGAUACUGACGCUGAGGUGCGAAAGCGUGGGGAGCAAACAGG